CCCAGCGGGAGAGAUCGGUCCCUGACCUGGUGACAGGCACGGACCGGCGCCGAAGGAGCAACCGCCCCGGAAACUCUCAGGCAAACGGACCGUUGGGUG
Molecule: non-coding RNA, 99 nt
Filed under: uncultured Minwuia sp.
Lineage: Bacteria; Pseudomonadati; Pseudomonadota; Alphaproteobacteria; Minwuiales; Minwuiaceae
Description: Glycine riboswitch
Rfam family: Glycine riboswitch aptamer
About the family: This family represents the bacterial glycine riboswitch. Glycine riboswitches usually consist of two metabolite-binding aptamers domains with similar structures in tandem.
Source: RNAcentral